AGGCCCCAUCGUCUAGCGGUUAGGACGCGGCCCUCUCAAGGCCGAAACGGGGGUUCGAUUCCCCCUGGGGUCACC
RNAcentral lists this transfer RNA (75 nucleotides) under Thermus thermophilus HB27. RNAcentral's name for it is "tRNA-Glu". It matches the Rfam family "tRNA". Rfam says of the family: Transfer RNA (tRNA) molecules are approximately 80 nucleotides in length. Their secondary structure includes four short double-helical elements and three loops (D, anti-codon, and T loops). The record is from RNAcentral. RNAcentral also lists the same sequence under 1 other name. Lineage: Bacteria; Thermotogati; Deinococcota; Deinococci; Thermales; Thermaceae.